RNAcentral lists this long non-coding RNA (685 nucleotides) under Marmota monax (woodchuck). The record is from RNAcentral. Lineage: Eukaryota; Metazoa; Chordata; Mammalia; Rodentia; Sciuridae.
GGCAGCUUCAUGGACAUGCGGAGUUUGCUCGUCCAGGAGACACUGGAGGCAGGUCAGCUCCUUCUACCUGCAUGGCUGUGGGAGUUUCAUUGGGUAGAAUCUGAUUAGUAACCUUUGGAUAAAUAGAACUGAUAUUUAAUGUUCAGCAUCAGGUGUAAAAUGAAGGUAGGGAACUGGAAAAAAUUUGUGCUGUAAAAUCUUCAAAUGUGGUUGCUUCUGAAUGGUGCUGGAUAAUUGUUUGGAGAUAUUGUGAUCUCUCCUCAUGGAAGUUCCAACACAAUGGAAUCAGAGAUUUCAGAGCAUGGAUUGCAUUUCUAACUCUUACUCCAACCACUAUGGGUAGAACCUUCCAAUUCAUAAUAACACCAUCAUGAAGUGGACCAAAAAAGGGGACUUCUAUUUUUCUCAUCAUCUGGAUACUGAACAUGUGAUUUUUUUCCAUUGGAUAUAUUAAAAUAAGGACAUCACCAAAUUCUGUAGGAAUAAUUCCUUUCCCGUAGUCUCUAGUAUGCUCUGACCAAACAAUGUGCACUUAAUCAUUUCCUAAACAUCUCAACUUGCUGAGAAGCAGUACUCCCAAGUGCUUAAAUCCUGAGCCUUGGAGCAACUAGGGACACAGUCUUCCUCUAAUCUACCAUCUUGAAUCUCCCUGUGGUUAUGGUUUUGACAGCACAAAUGUAAUAAU